Long non-coding RNA from Sinocyclocheilus rhinocerous, 389 nucleotides. RefSeq lists it as uncharacterized. The record is from RefSeq and is a predicted model, not a curated record. Lineage: Eukaryota; Metazoa; Chordata; Actinopteri; Cypriniformes; Cyprinidae. The transcript is spliced from 4 exons.
GUGUGUUAGUCUCUGAGGAAGGUGGGUAAAGACUCCACAGUGCUGCUGAUCUGUGUCACAGUGUUCCUGUCGUAUCUCCCCGAGGCCGGACAGUAUUCCAGCUUCUUUCUCUAUCUGGGACAGGUCAUUAACUUCUCCUCAGAAGCGAUUGCAGCGUUUAUUGCGAUGGUGGGAAUCCUGUCCAUCAUAGCACAGACGGUACUGUUAAGCGUUCUGAUGAAGAAGAUUGGGAAUAAAAGCACAGUGCUGCUGGGACUGGGGUUUCAGUUGUUCCAGCUGGCUUGGUACGGCUUCGGGUCUGAACCGUGGAUGAUGUGGGGGGCUGGUGCUGUGGCUGCUGUGUCCAGCAUCACCUUUCCAGCCGUGAGCGCGCUGGUGUCUCGCUGCAC